UGCCAGCCGCCGCGGUAAUACGUAGGGUGCAAGCGUUAAUCGGAAUUACUGGGCGUAAAGCGUGCGCAGGCGGUUAUAUAAGACAGUUGUGAAAUCCCCGGGCUUAACCUGGGAAUUGCAUCUGUGACUGUAUAGCUAGAGUACGGUAGAGGGGGAUGGAAUUCCGCGUGUAGCAGUGAAAUGCGUAGAUAUGCGGAGGAACACCGAUGGCGAAGGCAAUCCCCUGGACCUGUACUGACGCUCAUGCACGAAAGCGUGGGGAGCAAACAGGAUUAGAUACCCUGGUAGUCCACGCCCUAAACGAUGUCAACUGGUUGUUGGGUGCAUUAGUACUCAGUAACGAAGCUAACGCGUGAAGUUGACCGCCUGGGGAGUACGGCCGCAAGGUUGAAACUUAAAUAAAUUGGCGG
Molecule: ribosomal RNA, 410 nt
Filed under: uncultured Comamonadaceae bacterium
Lineage: Bacteria; Pseudomonadati; Pseudomonadota; Betaproteobacteria; Burkholderiales; Comamonadaceae
Description: bacterial SSU rRNA
Rfam family: Bacterial small subunit ribosomal RNA
Source: RNAcentral